Molecule: long non-coding RNA, 555 nt
Filed under: Apteryx owenii (little spotted kiwi)
Lineage: Eukaryota; Metazoa; Chordata; Aves; Apterygiformes; Apterygidae
Description: lncRNA (ENSAOWG00000000318.1)
Source: RNAcentral
GGUUUUUUUGUGUUUUUUUUGUGGUGUUUUGUCUGUUUUCAUUGUUUGGGUUGGUUUUGGUGGUCUGGGUUUUUUUGUGUGGUGUGGCUGUUUUGGAUAAGGGGGUGUUUGCCCCCAUGACCAUGACUUUUUGGUGACCUCGCAGAACAAGGUCCAGAUCAUGGUGUGAUCUGAUAAAGGCUGCUGGGAGGCUUUGCCCGGAGCAGGAUGCUGGGAUCAACUCUGAGGGACGUGGUAUUUUGGGCAACCCCCCUGCACUCGCCYCCCAAAGAGGAGAGUUAGAAUGCCACUGAAAGAAAGGAGUGGAGAGGAAUGUUCUGUGAAAGCUCAGAGAUUUCACCCAUGUCUUCAGGACUCUGAGAGCAGAGUCAGCAAGGGCAGCAACCCAACAGCAGAGGACUGGCACUAGGGAGGUGGUGGUGUGUGACAGCAGCCUAGAAGUUCGUUGGGAGCAAAGCCAAGAAACCUACGUUGUGCAAGAAGAGAAGAGGAGCAAGGAAGAAAGCAGUUUGCAGCAUGGACAGGUCUAGGUAGCACAACAAGUCUGGCCCAAAC